GCGGCCUAUCAGCUUGUUGGUGGGGUGAUGGCCUACCAAGGCGACGACGGGUAGCCGGCCUGAGAGGGCGACCGGCCACACUGGGACUGAGACACGGCCCACACUCCUACAGGAGGCAGCAGUGGGGAAUAUUGCACAAUGGGCGAAAGCCUGAUGCCGCGACGCCGCGUGAGGGAUGACGGCCUUCGGGUUGUAAACCUCUUUCAGCAGGGAAGAAGCGAAAGUGACGGUACCUGCAGAAGAAGCGCCGGCUAACUACGUGCCAGCAGCCGCGGUAAUACGUAGGGCGCAAGCGUUGUC
RNAcentral lists this ribosomal RNA (300 nucleotides) under Streptomyces argenteolus. RNAcentral describes it as "bacterial SSU rRNA". It matches the Rfam family "Bacterial small subunit ribosomal RNA", at positions 233 to 545 of the family's 1533-position model. Lineage: Bacteria; Bacillati; Actinomycetota; Actinomycetes; Kitasatosporales; Streptomycetaceae. The record is from RNAcentral.